UAUUUUUGACCAUCUUGAGCUGUGAGGCAUCUAUAAAAAAGAAGCUGAAUCACAUGAAAUUCUCAUUGAAUCUGGAAGGCAUGCAAGAGAGGAUUUUAUACCUGUUUGACUUGAUUGAGAACCAGAUAAUGUGCUUUCAGAUAACAUCUGGCAUACUCAUUGAUGUUCCAGGACCUCAAGUUUCUUUAAACGUUCAGGAAGAAGCAAGCUUAACAGAACUAAAUCAUACUAAAUAGACUCUCAAAGUAGUGUAUAAACCAGAAUGCAAUUUAUUGAAAAAGAACUCCUAUCAAUGCAUUGUCUCCCCUAGAGGUCGUAAAACCAUCAUAUAAGAGGAGCUUUCCCUAUGCUGAAGGAA
Molecule: long non-coding RNA, 358 nt
Organism: Prionailurus viverrinus (fishing cat)
Lineage: Eukaryota; Metazoa; Chordata; Mammalia; Carnivora; Felidae
Exons: 3
Source: RefSeq, a predicted model, not a curated record